AUUCCAGCUCCAAGAGCGUAUAUUAAAGUUGUUGCAGUUAAAAAGCUCGUAGUUGGAUUUCUGGUCUAAUGCGCCUGGCCCGCUGCCGUUAGGUAUGUGAGUGCCGGUGCGCGUUUACCAUCCUUCCAGAGAACACUUCUACCAUUUAUUUGGACGGAUGUUGUCUUCUGGAUCUUUUACUUUGAAAAAAUUAGAGUGUUUAAAGCAGGCCUUUGCUGUGAAUACAUUAGCAUGGAAUAAUAAUCUAGGACUUCGGUUCCAUUUUGUUGGUUUCUAGUACUGAAGUAAUGAUUGAUAGGGAUAGUUGGGGGUGCUAGUAUUGGCCGGCCAGAGGUGAAAUUCUUGGAUUCGGUCAAGACUAACUUAUGCGAAAGCAUUCACCAAGGAUGUCUUCAUCA
RNAcentral lists this ribosomal RNA (398 nucleotides) under Cryomonadida sp. RNAcentral describes it as "partial small subunit ribosomal RNA". It matches the Rfam family "Eukaryotic small subunit ribosomal RNA", at positions 582 to 975 of the family's 1831-position model. Lineage: Eukaryota; Cercozoa; Thecofilosea; Cryomonadida. The record is from RNAcentral.